GGGGUUUCAGGCCGUCAAUUUUGCCCUAUUCAGGUUCGGUCUCCUCCGGGAUAGUGUACUCCGCUAUAAAAUCUGCCAAUAUCUGAGCUUUCACUACUGGUCUGGGUCGAUAGUUGAUGUCGAAUUCUGUGAGCUCGAUCGUCCAUUUCGCCAUCCUCCCGGAGGCAUCUGCCCGGUGCAGAAUCACCUUAAUCGGUUGGUCGGUGAGCAAUGUUACGGUGUGCCCUUGAAAGUAGGGUCGGAGCCUCUGGGCUGCAACCAACAGGGCGUAAGUUAG
RNAcentral lists this long non-coding RNA (277 nucleotides) under Elaeis guineensis (African oil palm). Its description in RNAcentral is "long non-coding RNA (EGUI_LNC062765)". The record is from RNAcentral. Lineage: Eukaryota; Viridiplantae; Streptophyta; Magnoliopsida; Arecales; Arecaceae.